Molecule: ribosomal RNA, 490 nt
Filed under: uncultured bacterium
Lineage: Bacteria
Description: partial 16S ribosomal RNA
Rfam family: Bacterial small subunit ribosomal RNA
Source: RNAcentral
AUUGAACGCUGGCGGCAGGCCUAACACAUGCAAGUCGAACGGUAACAGGAAGCAGCUUGCUGCUUUGCUGACGAGUGGCGGACGGGUGAGUAAUGUCUGGGAAACUGCCCGAUGGAGGGGGAUAACUACUGGAAACGGUAGCUAAUACCGCAUAACGUCGCAAGACCAAAGAGGGGGACCUUAGGGCCUCUUGCCAUCGGAUGUGCCCAGAUGGGAUUAGCUAGUAGGUGGGGUAACGGCUCACCUAGGCGACGAUCCCUAGCUGGUCUGAGAGGAUGACCAGCCACACUGGAACUGAGACACGGUCCAGACUCCUACGGGAGGCAGCAGUGGGGAAUAUUGCACAAUGGGCGCAAGCCUGAUGCAGCCAUGCCGCGUGUAUGAAGAAGGCCUUCGGGUUGUAAAGUACUUUCAGCGGGGAGGAAGGGAGUAAAGUUAAUAUCUUUGCUCAUUGACGUUACCCGCAGAAGAAGCACCGGCUAACUCCGUG